This 411-nucleotide ribosomal RNA is filed under the name Smaragdinella cf. sieboldii TRO-2019. Its description in RNAcentral is "partial large subunit ribosomal RNA". It matches the Rfam family "Archaeal large subunit ribosomal RNA", at positions 1920 to 2665 of the family's 2987-position model. Lineage: Eukaryota; Metazoa; Mollusca; Gastropoda; Cephalaspidea; Smaragdinellidae. The record is from RNAcentral.
AGCCCUAAGUAUUUAUUUAGGGUAAUACCUGCCCAAUGAGAAAUUUAAUGGCCGCGGUACUUUGACCGUGCUAAGGUAGCAUAAUCAAUUGACUUUUAAAUGAAGUCUGGAAUGAAAGGGGGAACGGAAUUUAGCUGUCUUAACUCCUUUAAUUUGAAUUUACUAACUAAGUGAAAAGGCUUAGAAGAGAUAAAAGACGAGAAGACCCUAAGAGUUUUGAGUAUAUUUUUGUUGGGGCGACAUAGGGUCAAGUUAUUAACACCCUUAUUUCAUAGGACGGAUUUAUCAUGUUCAGAUAAACUACCUUAGGGAUAACAGCAUAAUUCUUUAGAGUUUGUGACCUCGAUGUUGGACUAGGAAGCCUUUAGGCUAGCUGCCUAAAAGGGAGAUUCUGUUCGAAUUUUUACUCCU